CACAGCUCUCCCACGGCUUGCGGAGAGCUGCGUGAAGCCCAAAGCCUGCAGGCAGCUCUUCGCAAGCCGUGGGAGUGCUGCG
This is a non-coding RNA of Podarcis lilfordi (Lilford's wall lizard), 82 nucleotides long. The record is from the annotation of a GenBank genome assembly. NCBI's taxonomy places the organism in Eukaryota, Metazoa, Chordata, Lepidosauria, Squamata, Lacertidae.